This 649-nucleotide ribosomal RNA is filed under the name uncultured marine eukaryote. RNAcentral describes it as "SSU rRNA". It matches the Rfam family "Eukaryotic small subunit ribosomal RNA", at positions 614 to 1264 of the family's 1831-position model. The record is from RNAcentral.
UGCGGUUAAAAAGCUCGUAGUUGGAUCUCGGCAAGUAGAGGGCGGUAUGCUUCGUAGCAUUACUGCCCUAUUACUUGUAGUUUUGCCAGAGGUUCCUGGGUGCUCUUAAUCGAGUGCCUAGGGAUGCUGGCAGGUUUACUUUGAAAAAAUUAGAGUGCUCAAAGCAGGCUAUUACGCUUGAAUAUUCGUGCAUGGAAUAAUAGAAUAGGAAGUUGUUUCUAUUUUGUUGGUUUUCGGAAAUCGACUUAAUGAUUAAUAGGGACAGUCGGGGGCAUUUGUAUUCAAACGACAGAGGUGAAAUUCUUGGACCGUUUGAAGACAAACUACUGCGAAAGCAUUUGCCAAGAAUGUUUUCAUUAAUCAAGAACGAAAGUUAGAGGUUCGAAGGCGAUUAGAUACCGCCCUAGUUCUAACCAUAAACGAUGCCAGCUAGCGAUCUGAGGACGUUUUUUUUGUAGACUCCUCAGGAAGCUUCCGGGAAACCAAAGCGUGUGGGUUCCGGGGGAAGUAUGGUUGCAAAGCUGAAACUUAAAGGAAUUGACGGAAGGGCACCACCAGGAGUGGAGCCUGCGGCUUAAUUUGACUCAACACGGGAAAUCUCACCAGGCCCGGACCCUGGAAGGAUUGACAGAUUGAGAGCUCUUUCUCG